RNAcentral lists this long non-coding RNA (424 nucleotides) under Piliocolobus tephrosceles (Ugandan red Colobus). Its description in RNAcentral is "lncRNA (ENSPTEG00000016033.1)". The record is from RNAcentral. Lineage: Eukaryota; Metazoa; Chordata; Mammalia; Primates; Cercopithecidae.
UACUUCAGGAUUUUGAUAAAGAGACAUAUAGCAUUGGAAUUGUAAAUCAACCUAAACAAAGUUUUACACAGUUUACGAAUUUUAAUGACGAACAACAAACAUGUUUAUACCCAUUUAUUCAAAUAAGUAAUCCAAUUAAUAAAGGCAUGUCUGGUUCACCAGUAAUUGAUAAACAUGACAAUCUUGUUGGAAUGCUUCAAAAAAAAAUCGACAAUUUUGGGUUAGCUUUACCAGCACAUAUUUUAAAAAAUAUAACAUCACAUCUGCAACAUAAAGGAAAAUAUGAAGAGCCGUUUUUAGGAUUAAUAUUAAAAGAAAAGGAAUAUGCAAUAAAAAAUUAUAAACGCGUUAAUAAAGGUAUACUAUUUUGAAUUUAAUCUAUCCCAUUUUGUAUUAAAAAAAAAAAAAAAAAAAAAAAAAAAAA